AACGAACGCUGGCGGCAGGCUUAACACAUGCAAGUCGAACGCUCGUAGCAAUACGGGAGUGGCGGACGGGUGAGUAACGCGUGGGAACGUGCCCUGAGGUACGGAAUAACUGCGGGAAACUGCAGCUAAUACCGUAUGAGCCCCUAACGGGGGAAAGAUUUAUCGCCUUGGGAGCGGCCCGCGUCGGAUUAGCUAGUUGGUGGGGUAACGGCCUACCAAGGCUUCGAUCCGUAGCUGGUCUGAGAGGACGAUCAGCCACACUGGGACUGAGACACGGCCCAGACUCCUACGGGAGGCAGCAGUGGGGAAUCUUGCGCAAUGGGGGCAACCCUGACGCAGCCAUGCCGCGUGAAUGAUGAAGGCCUUAGGGUUGUAAAGUUCUUUUGCCCGUGACGAUGAUGACGGUAACGGGAGAAUAAGCUCCGGCUAACUUCGUG
This 437-nucleotide ribosomal RNA is filed under the name uncultured bacterium. Its description in RNAcentral is "bacterial SSU rRNA". It matches the Rfam family "Bacterial small subunit ribosomal RNA", at positions 29 to 507 of the family's 1533-position model. The record is from RNAcentral.